GAAGCGGGCGCGAGUCUUGGGUUAAAAACCUAAAGGCGAAAUGAAAGUAAAGAGUGUUUUUUACAUUCGAGGGAAGAUGGUCGAUUAGCCUUUUAUUAGGCGUCGGCCCGCACUCCCGGGGCGUCUCUAUCUCAUUUUGAGUAGAGGCGCACCUAUAGCGCACACGCUGAUACCCGAAAGAUGGUGAACUAUGCCUGGCCAGGACGAAGCCAGGGGAAACCCUGGUGGAGGUCCGCAGCGAUUCUGACGUGCAAAUCGAUCGUCGGAGCUAGGUAUAGGGGCGAUAGACCAAUCGAACCAUCUAGUAGCUGGUUCCCUCUGAAGUUUCCCUCAGGAUAGCUUGCGCUCGGAGAGAAGAGUCUCAUCCGGUAGAGCGAAUGAUUAGAGGCCUUGGGGUCGAAACGACCUCAACCUAUUCUCAAACUCCAAAUAGAUGAGAUCCCCGGCUUGCUUGAAAGUGAAGCCGGGAGACUCGGAUCAGAGUGCCAAGUGGGCCAAUUUUGGUAAGCAGAACUGGCGCUGUGGGAUGAACCAAACGCAGAGUUAAGGCGCCUAAAUCGACGCUCAUGUGAAACCAUGAAAGGCGUUGGUUGCUAAGACAGCAGGCACG
This 610-nucleotide ribosomal RNA is filed under the name Amphiareus constrictus. RNAcentral's name for it is "eukaryotic LSU rRNA". It matches the Rfam family "Eukaryotic large subunit ribosomal RNA", at positions 677 to 1247 of the family's 3401-position model. The record is from RNAcentral. Lineage: Eukaryota; Metazoa; Arthropoda; Insecta; Hemiptera; Anthocoridae.